RNAcentral lists this ribosomal RNA (253 nucleotides) under uncultured bacterium. Its description in RNAcentral is "partial 16S ribosomal RNA". It matches the Rfam family "Bacterial small subunit ribosomal RNA", at positions 524 to 776 of the family's 1533-position model. The record is from RNAcentral.
UACGUAGGGUGCAAGCGUUGUUCGGAAUCAUUGGGCGUAAAGCGCGUGUAGGUGGUUAGGUAAGUCGUGUGUGAAAUCCCUGGGCUCAACCGAGGAAGUGCAUGCGAAACUACCUAGCUAGAGGACGGUAGAGGAUGGUGGAAUUCCUAGUGUAGAGGUGAAAUUCGUAGAUAUUAGGAGGAAUACCGGUGGCGAAGGCGGCCAUCUGGGCCGGUCCUGACACUGAGACGCGAAAGCGUGGGUAGCAAACAGG